Molecule: ribosomal RNA, 468 nt
Filed under: uncultured bacterium
Lineage: Bacteria
Description: partial 16S ribosomal RNA
Rfam family: Bacterial small subunit ribosomal RNA
Source: RNAcentral
GACGAACGCUGGCGGCGUGCUUAACACAUGCAAGUCGAACGGAAAGGCCCUGCUUUUGUGGGGUUCUCGAGUGGCGAACGGGUGAGUAACACGUGAGUAACCUGCCCUUGACUUUGGUAUAACUUCAGGAAACUGGGGCUAAUACCGGAUCGGAGCUCCUGCUGCAUGGUGGGGGUUGGAACGUUUCGGCGGUUGGGGAUGGACUCGCGGCUUAUCAGCUUGUUGGUGGGGUAGUGGCUUACCAAGGCUUUGACGGGUAGCAGGCCUGAGAGGGUGACCGGCCACAUUGGGACUGAGAUACGGCCCAGACUCCUACGGGAGGCAGCAGUGGGGAAUAUUGCACAAUGGGCGGAAGCCUGAUGCAACAACGCCGCGUGCGGGAUGACGGCCUUCGGGUUGUAAACCGCUUUCGCCUUUGACGAAGCGUGAGUGACGGUAAUGGGUAAAGAAGCACCGGCUAACUACGUG